UAAGAGGGUAUUCGAAUUUUGUUGCAGUUAAAAAGCUCGUAGUUGAAAUGGGUCGUUUGCUGAACAGUCUCUUACAGAGCGGGAUGCAAACGCGGGUCCAAUCGGGCCUUUGAAACUUUGAGAAAAAUUGAGUGUUUCAGGCGGGCCAGCGCUUGAAUCGUGUACCAUGGAAUUUCAUAGUGGCAGGUCAUCUCUUUCCUUGGGUUUUGGGUGACACUGUGCGUGAUUGAUAGGAACUGUCGGGGGCAUUCGUACUGAACAGUCAGAGGUGAAAUUCUUAGAUUUGUUCAAGACGAACCAAUGCGAAAGCAUCUGCCCAGGAUGUUUUCAUUAA
RNAcentral lists this ribosomal RNA (334 nucleotides) under uncultured eukaryote. RNAcentral's name for it is "partial 18S ribosomal RNA". It matches the Rfam family "Eukaryotic small subunit ribosomal RNA", at positions 592 to 976 of the family's 1831-position model. The record is from RNAcentral.